UUAGGUUUAUCUUAUGCAAAUAGUUUGAGCCCUAGGUUAAAAAGCGAUUAGCGACCCUAUUCACCCCCUCCCCCUCUAGGGUCGGACACCCCGGUGAUCCUUACAUACGGGAAUCACCGCUAUUGAUACAACGGCCGAGCAGCACUAUCCAGUGGAUGAGAUCACCCAGCGGACACCUUGUGCGCUUCAAACUUGCAGUAAGAACUUAAGGUUCACGGUUGCGUAUGGUUCCGCCAUGCCAAGAACACCAAGCAAGGUGUACCAUGGGCAGGAGAUCCCGGCUGGAUACGCUAAAGUUGGGGUCGAGGAGGUGUGCAAUGAUUGGAAGAAUCUCGAGCUCGAUAUUCCUGGAGGUGACGGGGAGACAACACUAGCAGACGUUGUUCAUGGUUACAUCCUAUGGGACAAGCGGUACAUCAUCCUCAAGCCUACCGAUCAGGGAUCAAGGCCGACAUCGCCGCAACCCGAUCGUCGUUCACCUCCUCCGCCACUGUCUCCGGGAGCUGCCCCAGAACACUCUGCUGCUGAGCCGCCAUCUCCUAGGCAGCCGUUGACUACUCCUGUUGAGCCGCCAUCUCCUGGCUCACCUCCUCCUUCACCGCCAAAGAAGCGAAAGAAGACGGAGCCAGAGAAUCAGGAUAAACCACUGGACCCUUCAAAAUUAAAAUUUUUUAUUGGAAUGAAAGAAGCAAAUAGGGGAAAGUUUAUUGAGAAACCUCUUUCGGACUACGAUCGCUCAAUUAAGAAAUCAUACCAAAAGAGUAAAUCAAGGUCGUCAUCGUCCGAUGUUCCACAGCUGGGGGCCCAAGAGAAACAGUCAAUACAACCGCUAGUUGUUCUAAAUCAGGAACAACAAGGCUUUUUGGGGUUCUUGCAGUCAUCAAGGCUCACUACUGAUGACAUAACAGGGGCUUCGAACUAGAAUCCAGAUCCGGAGAAAGAGUAUCCGAUAGCUCCAGUGGUGAGAUGGGCAUAUAAGGAGGGCACCAGCCUUGUCCCCCCCCCCCCAGAGAUUGUGCCUUUGCUUCCAACGCAAAUGCGAAGGCUACAUGACUUGUACAUGAAGGCGAUGAGUGCUUGUAACUUCAUGCAGGGCGCAAAGAUUACAGAUGAAGAUUUCUUUCGUGGAGAGGCCAUCAUAUAGAUUGAUUGGGAAGAAAUCUACCAACUAUACCAUCAGGACUCCCUCGACAUCUCUAUCGUCGCUUUGUGGCUGCUGAUGGAGAUUCAAACUUGCCGGAAAAAAGGGUAUUACCAUGUCGGCUUCGUCGACCCAAUAAUUGUGAAUUGCAAGAAUCUCAACAGCAAUCCUAAAGAAACUUCCAAAAACUUGUACAAAUACUUAGCCAUUCAGCACUAUAAGUCGACCAUUGCAUUUCCGUACAACUUCGGAGAUCACUGGAUACUAAUUAACAUAUAUCCUGACAAGAGCUUGGCGAUUGUUAUGGACUCAUUGCGCAGAGAUCAAGAACAAUACAAAGACAUGACCGACAUGUUGGACAAGGUUUGGAAGAAAUUCGUUCGGAACCAUAGUGGCAAUAAUUUCAAUCCCGAACUAAAGUGGAGGAAAAACUAUCCG
This is a long non-coding RNA of Panicum virgatum (switchgrass), 1579 nucleotides long. RefSeq lists it as uncharacterized. The transcript has 4 exons. Lineage: Eukaryota; Viridiplantae; Streptophyta; Magnoliopsida; Poales; Poaceae. The record is from RefSeq and is a predicted model, not a curated record.